This 267-nucleotide ribosomal RNA is filed under the name uncultured prokaryote. Its description in RNAcentral is "partial 16S ribosomal RNA". It matches the Rfam family "Bacterial small subunit ribosomal RNA", at positions 9 to 304 of the family's 1533-position model. The record is from RNAcentral.
GAGUUUGAUCAUGGCUCAGAACGAACGCUGGCGGCACGCCUAACACAUGCAAGUCGAGCGCAUCCUUCGGGAUGAGCGGCGGACGGGUUAGUAACGCGUGGGAACAUACCCUUCACUACGGAAUAGCCUCGGGAAACUGAGAGUAAUACCGUAUACGCCCUUUGGGGGAAAGAUUUAUCGGUGAUGGAUUGGCCCGCGUUAGAUUAGAUAGUUGGUGGGGUAAUGGCCUACCAAGUCUACGAUCUAUAGCUGGUUUGAGAGGAUGAU